RNAcentral lists this transfer RNA (73 nucleotides) under Spirochaetia bacterium. RNAcentral's name for it is "tRNA-Gln". It matches the Rfam family "tRNA". From Rfam's summary of the family: Transfer RNA (tRNA) molecules are approximately 80 nucleotides in length. Their secondary structure includes four short double-helical elements and three loops (D, anti-codon, and T loops). The record is from RNAcentral. Lineage: Bacteria; Pseudomonadati; Spirochaetota; Spirochaetia.
UGAGGCGUAGCCAAGCGGUAAGGCACCGGGUUUUGGUCUCGGCAUUUCCCAGGUUCGAAUCCUGGCGCCUCAG